GCUGCGACGGGCAAUUUCACACAUCGGAGCGUCUAAACGGCAGCAAAGGGGAGCUGUUAAAAGUUUCGACAAUUUCAACAGUCGUAAGUUAUAGAAUGUGAUCUAGAGAAAAGCCAGAGGUGUGUUGAAUCGGCAGCUGUUGGAUUACUGACUUAAAUAUCUACAACAAACUCUGGUGCUCACAGGGAGCUGCAACAGUCCCCAUUAUGGAUUGGAUCAUUACUGCUAAAACAAACCGCCCUUGUUUUGCCGGUUCUGGCUCAUACAGGUCAGGCCAAAUAAGCUAGAUACUCUGUUAUGGAUGACAGAGCUGCACACGCCCCUGCUGCUCCUGUGGCUUCUCCUCUGUGUCCUUCAUGCUACUGGAGAUAUGUGGGGAAGUCCUGGAUCAGAUCUAAGCUCGGCCUCACCCUCACCACAUCAAGCCCUCCUGAUCUCUUCUGCUCUGGGAUCCUCCCUUAGACCGGCCCCCCUCCUGCACCCUGCUCCGACACGUCUCAACAGUCUCCCAGUCCAUCUGGCUUUCACAAGUUUGAAUGAAUACUGUUAACCAACUGCUAUCUCUGUGUUCUCUGACCCGCCCUAACAAAACCCACCUGUGAGUGUGAAAUUGUAACUCUCUCCGUGGCCAAUAAUUGUCAAAAUGUCCAAACGCUAAUAUCAACUUUUCAAAUUUUACCUUACCUUUUGUUAUGUUUUGUAUUUAUUUUCUCGUUUAUGCUCAGCACAAACAUACCAGAGCAAAAUCCCCUGUAUGUGUAAACCUAUAACAUCUGAUUCUGCGAUGGAUUUAAUGGUAAAAUAAUAUCCUAUUAUUACAAAAAAUCGAUCACCAAAGGUCUGAAAGGUUUCUGUUGAUUCUGAUUAGAUGUGCUGCUACCAAAAGAACCAAUUGACUGAAUAGCAUAAUGUCACAUCACUCAUUUGCCAUGACCAGUGCUACAAAUCACCACAACACUGAAAGCAAGUUCUGUACAUGCAGUGAAUAAAAUCUGUAUUUAUGAUAAAAUAAAAACAUCACCUUAA
Platichthys flesus (European flounder) is the source of this 1026-nucleotide long non-coding RNA. RefSeq lists it as uncharacterized. The transcript has 3 exons. NCBI's taxonomy places the organism in Eukaryota, Metazoa, Chordata, Actinopteri, Pleuronectiformes, Pleuronectidae. The record is from RefSeq and is a predicted model, not a curated record.